This 372-nucleotide ribosomal RNA is filed under the name uncultured organism. Its description in RNAcentral is "bacterial SSU rRNA". It matches the Rfam family "Bacterial small subunit ribosomal RNA", at positions 526 to 896 of the family's 1533-position model. The record is from RNAcentral.
CGUAGGGACCAAGCGUUGUUCGGAUUUACUGGGCGUAAAGGGCGCGUAGGCGGCGCGGUAAGUCACUUGUGAAAUCUCUGAGCUUAACUCAGAACGGCCAAGUGAUACUGCAGUGCUAGAGUGUGGAAGGGGCAAUCGGAAUUCUUGGUGUAGCGGUGAAAUGCGUAGAUAUCAAGAGGAACACCUGAGGUGAAGACGGGUUGCUGGGCCAACACUGACGCUGAUGCGCGAAAGCCAGGGGAGCAAACGGGAUUAGAUACCCCGGUAGUCCUGGCCCUAAACGAUGAAUACUUGGUGUCUGGAGUUUUAAUGCUCCGGGUGCCGUCGCUAACGUUUUUAGUAUUCCGCCUGGGGAGUACGCUCGCAAGAGUG